GUGCAUGGGACUAACUCCAACCCAAUGUGAACCAUACCAAACUGUUGCCUCGGCGGGGUCACGCCCCGGGUGCGUCGCAGCCCCGGAACCAGGCGCCCGCCGGAGGGACCAACCAAACUCUUUCUGUAGUCCCCUCGCGGACGUUAUUUCUUACAGCUCUGAGCAAAAAUUCAAAAUGAAUCAAAACUUUCAACAACGGAUCUCUUGGUUCUGGCAUCGAUGAAGAACGCAGCGAAAUGCGAUAAGUAAUGUGAAUUGCAGAAUUCAGUGAAUCAUCGAAUCUUUGAACGCACAUUGCGCCCGCCAGUAUUCUGGCGGGCAUGCCUGUCCGAGCGUCAUUUCAACCCUCGAACCCCUCCGGGGGGUCGGCGUUGGGGAUCGGGAACCCCUAAGACGGGAUCCCGGCCCCGAAAUACAGUGGCGGUCUCGCCGCAGCCUCUCCUGCGCAGUAGUUUGCACAACUCGCACCGGGAGCGCGGCGCGUCCACGUCCGUAAAACACCCAACUUCUGAAAUGUUGACCUCGGAUCAGGUAGGAAUACCCGCUGAACUUAAGCAUAUCAAACGGGGGAGAGGGAAAC
RNAcentral lists this ribosomal RNA (580 nucleotides) under Trichoderma gamsii. Its description in RNAcentral is "eukaryotic LSU rRNA". The stretch from base 185 to 338 matches the Rfam family "5.8S ribosomal RNA". The record is from RNAcentral. Lineage: Eukaryota; Fungi; Ascomycota; Sordariomycetes; Hypocreales; Hypocreaceae.